RNAcentral lists this long non-coding RNA (250 nucleotides) under Mytilus galloprovincialis (Mediterranean mussel). The record is from RNAcentral. Lineage: Eukaryota; Metazoa; Mollusca; Bivalvia; Mytilida; Mytilidae.
GUUUAAUAAUAAUAUAUAAUAUAAUAGUGUUCAGCAAAGUAAGAUGUAGAAAUAAGUCAACAUGACCAAUAGUCAGAUGACCCCUUAAGGAGUUAUUGCCCUUUAUAGUCAAUUUUCAACAAUUUUCAUUAAUUUUUACAAAAUAUUUUCCUCUGUUACUAAAGGGCCAAUUUUAUUAUAGAUAAAGAAAAUUGUAAGUGGCAAGAAUUUUCAGUAAAGUAAGAUCUACAAACACAUAACCAUCACCAAA